AGACAAAUAAAUCUCAGUCAAGAAACAAAGCUAUUGUGUUGGGAAUAUCAGUUGGUGUGCUGCCCAUGGGCACACCAAGGAACCACCGUGAUAGCUGAUCUGGAAGACCUCCUCACUGUAAUGGAAGGGUACCAUCCGCAGCACACAGUAGCUGCACCCGCUGAAGGCCUAGGUGCAGACAUUGAGGCUUGCCUGCGCGGCUUCAGCGAUGGCGGCAUGGAAUUCUACAUAUCUAUCGAACCCAACUUUUAA
Molecule: long non-coding RNA, 252 nt
Filed under: Oryza sativa tropical japonica subgroup
Lineage: Eukaryota; Viridiplantae; Streptophyta; Magnoliopsida; Poales; Poaceae
Description: lncRNA OsCMeo_05g0018220
Source: RNAcentral